RNAcentral lists this long non-coding RNA (380 nucleotides) under Patiria miniata (bat star). Its description in RNAcentral is "uncharacterized LOC119731196". The record is from RNAcentral. Lineage: Eukaryota; Metazoa; Echinodermata; Asteroidea; Valvatida; Asterinidae.
CCUCGCAUUUCCGGUGAAAUUAUAUAAAAUUAUGAUUUUAACAAAAAAUGAAAAAAUCAACUCCCCAUUUUUUCUUUUUUUACAAAAUAUUAUUUGGAUAUAUAAUAAUUAGGACUAAAAAACUAUCUGAACCAAGCAAAAAACUGGCGGACACUGUCCGUACAACUGUAUAAGCAUGCGUGAUGCUAUAUUCCUUUUUUUUAUAGUAGCUCCUUUUUAUACAAUAGACCUCGCAAAUAUCGGUGUUUUCUUGUCAUUUUACUUGUCUAACCAACCAGCAAUUGUACCGCGGCAUACACAGUGCGCGGUGCGGCGGGAACCAAUCAUACUGGUUAUCGCGAAGACAACUUCCCAAUCAAUCAAGCGAACUUGUAAAAAAA